Molecule: ribosomal RNA, 253 nt
Filed under: uncultured bacterium
Lineage: Bacteria
Description: partial 16S ribosomal RNA
Rfam family: Bacterial small subunit ribosomal RNA
Source: RNAcentral
UACGGAGGGUGCGAGCGUUGUCCGGAAUCACUGGGCGUAAAGGGCGCGUAGGCGGCCCGGCAAGUCAACGGUGAAAGCUUGGGGCUCAACCCCGAGUCGGCCGUCGAUACUUCCGGGCUGGAGCACUGUAGAGGCAGGUGGAAUUCCCGGUGUAGCGGUGAAAUGCGCAGAUAUCGGGAAGAACACCCGUGGCGAAGGCGGCUCUCUGGGACGGUACUGACGCUGAGACGCGAAAGCGUGGGGAGCGAACAGG